This 268-nucleotide signal recognition particle RNA is filed under the name Armatimonadota bacterium. RNAcentral describes it as "signal recognition particle sRNA large type". It matches the Rfam family "Bacterial large signal recognition particle RNA". From Rfam's summary of the family: The signal recognition particle (SRP) is a universally conserved ribonucleoprotein involved in the co-translational targeting of proteins to membranes. Archaeal SRP consists of a 7S RNA and homologues of the eukaryotic SRP19 and SRP54 proteins. Lineage: Bacteria; Bacillati; Armatimonadota. The record is from RNAcentral.
CCGUGCUAGACGGGGAGCUAGCGGUGCCCUGUAACCCGCAAUCCGCUACAGCGGGGUCGAACUCCUGCCCGAGGUCCAGUCGCUUGAGGAGAGUACUGCAACGGACGGCGUUGAUAGUCGGGCCCUGCGCAAUGCUCAGCGCGUGAACCCCGUCAGGUCCGGGAGGAAGCAGCGGUAAACGCGUCUGGGCAUGUGCCGCAGAGUGUUCCGGCUGGAGCCGGGCGUUGCAGCGACCCUUGGGCGAUUGAGAUCGGAGGCAGGUGCACGG